GUGCAUAGUAAUUUUUCAUUUCACUGUCACAAAUCACUCAUCAUCAAACACCAUGAAGCUCCAAGGUCCAAUCGCCAAACCCCGUUCAGUUCAGUUCCAAGACGCCGGAGAAACUGUUGCAACGGAACCGCACCUGCGGCGUCGCGCUCUCCGUCGCAGAUAUAAAAGAAGUAGGCAAGGGUUUGCAGGAUCGGAAGCGACGUUGUGAAACGGCGUCGUCACCGCCGCCAAGCAAGAGUGUGAGGAGGCAGAUCUUGCAGUGGUCUUCUUCUCCGAGUAAAUCCAAGAGUACUGACGAUGAUCCUUACAAGCUUCCAGAAAGAUAUAAAAUUUUGGAUCAGUUCUUGGAUCGCUUGAACAGUUAAUUUCAUUGUUUCGUCUGAAAGGGAAAGACGCCAUCUUUUAUGGAAAUCAGUCAUAGAAUUGAAUCUUUAACAGACAGGUACCCAUCCAUUAGGUUCUUUUUCUUUUAAUCAAUAGCAAUGUUUGAUCUUUUAUCUGUACAUGAAAUGCUAGUUAUGCGUUGUGUUUCUAUACUCCAUGGUCAGAUCUCAAACAAAGCAAAAUAAAGUAUAUUUUUUAUUUGUUGGCUUAAAAUGUAAGCUUAUGAAUGGUUCAAAAGAGAGAUAUAAACAAUGAAUGUCUUGAUUGCGUCGUUGAA
Vigna angularis (adzuki bean) is the source of this 661-nucleotide long non-coding RNA. RefSeq lists it as uncharacterized. Lineage: Eukaryota; Viridiplantae; Streptophyta; Magnoliopsida; Fabales; Fabaceae. The record is from RefSeq and is a predicted model, not a curated record. The transcript has 2 exons.